This 506-nucleotide ribosomal RNA is filed under the name uncultured bacterium. RNAcentral's name for it is "partial 16S ribosomal RNA". It matches the Rfam family "Bacterial small subunit ribosomal RNA", at positions 29 to 523 of the family's 1533-position model. The record is from RNAcentral.
AGUGAACGCUGGCGGUAGGCCUAACACAUGCAAGUCGAACGGCAGCACAGGAGAGCUUGCUCUCUGGGUGGCGAGCGGCGGACGGGUGAGGAAUACAUCGGAAUCUACUCUGUCGUGGGGGAUAACGUAGGGAAACUUACGCUAAUACCGCAUACGACCUACGGGUGAAAGCAGGGGAUCUUCGGACCUUGCGCGAUUGAAUGAGCCGAUGUCGGAUUAGCUAGUUGGCGGGGUAAAGGCCCACCAAGGCGACGAUCCGUAGCUGGUCUGAGGGGAUGAUCAGCCACACUGGAACUGAGACACGGUCCAGACUCCUACGGGAGGCAGCAGUGGGGAAUAUUGGACAAUGGGCGCAAGCCUGAUUCAGCCAUACCGCGUGGGUGAAGAAGGCCUUCGGGUUGUAAAGCCCUUUUGUUGGGAAAGAAAUCCAGCUGGCUAAUACCCGGUUGGGAUGACGGUACCCAAAGAACAAGCACCGGCUAACUUCGUGCCAGCCGCCGCCGUAA